Molecule: ribosomal RNA, 903 nt
Filed under: Triticum aestivum (bread wheat)
Lineage: Eukaryota; Viridiplantae; Streptophyta; Magnoliopsida; Poales; Poaceae
Description: partial small subunit ribosomal RNA
Source: RNAcentral
AUGUCCGCCAAGUCGGUGUCCGCGGACAAGUCGGCGGUCGAUUCCAGGAUCUCAUCCGCACGCCCUCGUCUCCCGCGGCGCGCUGGUACAAGGGUAUCAAACUCCCAGCAGUUUGCCGCACAACGGCGGUUAUUGGUGAAGCACCAAGAGGAAUUGAAGCUUUUCAUCAUCGUUUUCGGAUGUGAGGUGAUCGAUUCAGCUCUGGAAAGCUCGCACCGUCGUAUCAGGAAGCUACUUAUCUGCUGUUUCGCCGUAGCAUUUGCUUUCGCGGUUUCGGCCUUCUUCUAUGGCGUGGAGUAUGCUAAGAAGGAGCUUAUGGGGGAUGAGAAGAUUGAUGAGCUGAAGUUGAAGCUAAGGCCUAUAGUUCGUAGAGUCAUUUUUGGUCCUGACGACCCCUCUUCGGCCGGGAAAGUCCAGAAGGAGGAGGAGAACAGAGAGGAGAAGGAGAAGAUCAAGAAGGAAAACAACUCCUGGUUUGGCUGGAUGAAGACUUCUCCAGCUCCACCCACUUCUACGCCUGAGAAGGGCAAGGAGAAGGAGGAGAAGGGAGAGGAGAAGGAGAAGAUCAAGAAGGAAAACAACUCCUGGUUUGGCUGGAUGAAGACUUCUCUAGCUCCACCCACUUCUACGCCUGAGAAGAGCAAGGAGGAGAAGGAGGAGAAGGGAGAGGAGAAGGAGAAGGUGAAGAAGCAAAACAACUCCUGGUUUGGCUGGAUGAAGUCUUCUUCAGCUUCACCCACUUCUACGCUUGAAAAGGGGCAAGAGGAGGAGAAGGCCAAGGAGAAGGAGAAGGCCGAGGAGAAGGAGAAGGCCAUGGAGAAGGAGAAGGCCGAGCAGAAGAAGACCGAGAAGAGCCCUCCUUCAGCCCCACCCUCUGCCCGGAUGGAUGUCCACAACAAGUAA